Long non-coding RNA from Bactrocera oleae (olive fruit fly), 348 nucleotides. RefSeq lists it as uncharacterized. The record is from RefSeq and is a predicted model, not a curated record. NCBI's taxonomy places the organism in Eukaryota, Metazoa, Arthropoda, Insecta, Diptera, Tephritidae.
CGUCAUCCAAAAUGGGAAAUGUCGAUAAUGAAUCCUUAAUGAAUCUAACUUGCAUGUUUUCGUAAUAUAAGGCUGUGGAAAGGCUAUAGAUGACUACCCUCCAAUCCAAAAUUGUUAUGUAGACGGAGUACGCGCUAAUGCAGCUGACGUCAGGAUCAGAAACCUAUUGAUUAAAUAAAUGAAUCAGAUUAGUGAAUCGGUAAAAACUAUGCCAAGUCUUCUAACAAUGCAGCACUAUUUGCGUUACAAUACUACGCGUACAUGUCUUUUGACGCAAUACAGAAAGGAGUUCGAAUCGAGUAAAAUAUCUCUAUUUAUUAAAUAAUAAAAUAAUGAAUUAUAUCAUAA